AGAGUUUGAUCCUGGCUCAGGACGAACGCUGGCGGCGUGCUUAACACACGCAAGUCGAACGGAAAGGCCCUUCGGGGUACUCGAGUGGCGAACGGGUGAGUAACACGUGGGUGAUCUGCCCUGCACUUUGGGAUAAGCCUGGGAAACUGGGUCUAAUACCGAAUAGGACCGCGCUCUUCAUGGGGUGUGGUGGAAAGCUUUUGCGGUGUGGGAUGGGCCCGCGGCCUAUCAGCUUGUUGGUGGGGUAAUGGCCUACCAAGGCGACGACGGGUAGCCGGCCUGAGAGGGUGACCGGCCACACUGGGACUGAGAUACGGCCCAGACUCCUACGGGAGGCAGCAGUGGGGAAUAUUGCACAAUGGGCGCAAGCCUGAUGCAGCGACGCCGCGUGAGGGAUGACGGCCUUCGGGUUGUAAACCUCUUUCAAUAGGGACGAAGCGCAAGUGACGGUACCUAUAGAAGAAGGACCGGCCAACUACGUGCCAGCAGCCGCGGUAAUACGUAGGGUCCGAGCGUUGUCCGGAAUUACUGGGCGUAAAGAGCUCGUAGGUGGUUUGUCGCGUUGUUCGUGAAAACUCACAGCUUAACUGUGGGCGUGCGGGCGAUACGGGCAGACUAGAGUACUGCAGGGGAGACUGGAAUUCCUGGUGUAGCGGUGGAAUGCGCAGAUAUCAGGAGGAACACCGGUGGCGAAGGCGGGUCUCUGGGCAGUAACUGACGCUGAGGAGCGAAAGCGUGGGGAGCGAACAGGAUUAGAUACCCUGGUAGUCCAA
Molecule: ribosomal RNA, 773 nt
Filed under: uncultured bacterium
Lineage: Bacteria
Description: bacterial SSU rRNA
Rfam family: Bacterial small subunit ribosomal RNA
Source: RNAcentral